CGGACGGGUGAGUAACACGUGGGUAACCUGCCUGUAAGACUGGGAUAACUCCGGGAAACCGGGGCUAAUACCGGAUGCUUGUUUGAACCGCAUGGUUCAAACAUAAAAGGUGGCUUCGGCUACCACUUACAGAUGGACCCGCGGCGCAUUAGCUAGUUGGUGAGGUAAUGGCUCACCAAGGCAACGAUGCGUAGCCGACCUGAGAGGGUGAUCGGCCACACUGGGACUGAGACACGGCCCAGACUCCUACGGGAGGCAGCAGUAGGGAAUCUUCCGCAAUGGACGAAAGUCUGACGGAGCAACGCCGCGUGAGUGAUGAAGGUUUUCGGAUCGUAAAGCUCUGUUGUUAGGGAAGAACAAGUGCCGUUCAAAUAGGGCGGCACCUUGACGGUACCUAACCAGAAAGCCACGGCUAACUACGUGCCAGCAGCCGCGGUAAUACGUAGGU
This 448-nucleotide ribosomal RNA is filed under the name Bacillus licheniformis. RNAcentral describes it as "bacterial SSU rRNA". It matches the Rfam family "Bacterial small subunit ribosomal RNA", at positions 99 to 532 of the family's 1533-position model. The record is from RNAcentral. Lineage: Bacteria; Bacillati; Bacillota; Bacilli; Caryophanales; Bacillaceae.